GGCGUUGUACUUUAAUAUAAAAGGUCUGGUUUGCAUCUAGGUAAUGGGCGGAUUAGAGCUCCGGCGCUC
This 69-nucleotide transfer RNA is filed under the name Diodora graeca. RNAcentral's name for it is "tRNA-Ala". The record is from RNAcentral. Lineage: Eukaryota; Metazoa; Mollusca; Gastropoda; Lepetellida; Fissurellidae.